GCCUUCUCGCCGCCGUCUGCUACCUGUACCCCUUCCUUGACGGCGUCCACUACGGGCGCUUCGUGGUGGCCCAGUUCCCGGCGUUCCAGGUCCUCCUCCAGCCCCUUGUCCCGGCCAUUCGCCUCUUCCGCUCCUCCCCCUUCACCCCCUUCCUACUCUUCCUCACCCUCUAUUUCGCCGUCGUCCGCAACCCCUCCAGGUUUAGCCGUUACGUCCGCUUCAACACCAUGCAGGCCAUCGUCCUCGAUGUCCUCCUCAUCUUCCCCGACCUCCUCGAGCGAUCUUUCAACCCGAGUGAGGGCAUCGGGUUGGACCUCCUC
This 320-nucleotide long non-coding RNA is filed under the name Musa acuminata (dwarf banana). RNAcentral describes it as "long non-coding RNA (MACU_LNC005530)". The record is from RNAcentral. Lineage: Eukaryota; Viridiplantae; Streptophyta; Magnoliopsida; Zingiberales; Musaceae.